Molecule: ribosomal RNA, 301 nt
Filed under: uncultured bacterium
Lineage: Bacteria
Description: partial 16S ribosomal RNA
Rfam family: Bacterial small subunit ribosomal RNA
Source: RNAcentral
CAGUAGCCGCGGGAAUACGUAGGUGGCAAGCGUUGUCCGGAAUUAUUGGGCGUAAAGGGCUCGCAGGCGGUUUCUUAAGUCUGAUGUGAAAGCCCCCGGCUCAACCGGGGAGGGUCGUUGGAAACUGGGAAACUUGAGUGCAGAAGAGGAGAGUGGAAUUCCACGUGUAGCGGUGAAAUGCGUAGAGAUGUGGAGGAACACCAGUGGCGAAGGCGACUCUCUGGUCUGUAACUGACGCUGAGGAGCGAAAGCGUGGGGAGCGAACAGGAUUAGAUACCCCAGUAGUCCCUGUCUCUUAUAC